AUUGAACGCUGGCGGCAGGCCUAACACAUGCAAGUCGAGCGGAUGAGAGGAGCUUGCUCCCUGAUUUAGCGGCGGACGGGUGAGUAAUGCCUAGGAAUCUGCCUGGUAGUGGGGGAUAACGUUCCGAAAGGAACGCUAAUACCGCAUACGUCCUACGGGAGAAAGCAGGGGACCUUCGGGCCUUGCGCUAUCAGAUGAGCCUAGGUCGGAUUAGCUAGUUGGUGAGGUAAUGGCUCACCAAGGCGACGAUCCGUAACUGGUCUGAGAGGAUGAUCAGUCACACUGGAACUGAGACACGGUCCAGACUCCUACGGGAGGCAGCAGUGGGGAAUAUUGGACAAUGGGCGAAAGCCUGAUCCAGCCAUGCCGCGUGUGUGAAGAAGGUCUUCGGAUUGUAAAGCACUUUAAGUUGGGAGGAAGGGCAUUAACCUAAUACGUUAGUGUUUUGACGUUACCGACAGAAUAAGCACCGGCUAACUUCGUGCCAGCAGCCGCGGUAAUACGAAGGGUGCAAGCGUUAAUCGGAAUUACUGGGCGUAAAGCGCGCGUAGGUGGUUCGUUAAGUUGGAUGUGAAAGCCCCGGGCUCAACCUGGGAACUGCAUCCAAAACUGGCGAGCUAGAGUACGGUAGAGGGUGGUGGAAUUUCCUGUGUAGCGGUGAAAUGCGUAGAUAUAGGAAGGAACACCAGUGGCGAAGGCGACCACCUGCACUGAUACUGACACUGAGGUGCGAAAGCGUGGGGAGCAAACAGGAUUAGAUACCCUGGUAGUCCACGCCGUAAACGAUGUCAACUAGCCGUUGGGUUCCUUGAGAACUUAGUGGCGCAGCUAACGCAUUAAGUUGACCGCCUGGGGAGUACGGCCGCAGGGUUAAAACUC
Molecule: ribosomal RNA, 879 nt
Filed under: uncultured bacterium
Lineage: Bacteria
Description: bacterial SSU rRNA
Rfam family: Bacterial small subunit ribosomal RNA
Source: RNAcentral